RNAcentral lists this ribosomal RNA (397 nucleotides) under uncultured bacterium. RNAcentral describes it as "bacterial SSU rRNA". It matches the Rfam family "Bacterial small subunit ribosomal RNA", at positions 340 to 754 of the family's 1533-position model. The record is from RNAcentral.
UACGGGAGGCAGCAGUGGGGAAUAUUGCACAAUGGGCGAAAGCCUGAUGCAGCGACGCCGCGUGAGCGAAGAAGUAUUUCGGUAUGUAAAGCUCUAUCAGCAGGGAAGAUAAUGACGGUACCUGACUAAGAAGCACCGGCUAAAUACGUGCCAGCAGCCGCGGUAAUACGUAUGGUGCAAGCGUUAUCCGGAUUUACUGGGUGUAAAGGGAGCGCAGGCGGUGCGGCAAGUCUGAUGUGAAAGCCCGGGGCUCAACCCCGGUACUGCAUUGGAAACUGUCGUACUAGAGUGUCGGAGGGGUAAGCGGAAUUCCUAGUGUAGCGGUGAAAUGCGUAGAUAUUAGGAGGAACACCAGUGGCGAAGGCGGCUUACUGGACGAUAACUGACGCUGAGGCUC